UCCUCGUUUAAGCGAGGCAGUCUGUCCAGAGUGCUCCCUACUCUCGUAGGGGUGGCAACAGGACACAAGGGUUGCGCUCGUUGCGGGACUUAACCCAACAUCUCACGACACGAGCUGACGACAGCCAUGCAGCACCUGUGCAUGCUCCCCUUGCGGGGUCGUCCCACUUUCAUGGUUCUACCACAUGCAUGUCAAGGCCAGGUAAGGUUCUUCGCGUUGCAUCGAAUUAAACCACACGCUCCGCCGCUUGUGCGGGCCCCCGUCGUUAGUUACACCUCUCUAACGAGACCGCUGGGAUAAACCCAGAGGAAGGUGGGGAUGACGUACUCUACG
This 333-nucleotide unclassified non-coding RNA is filed under the name uncultured Verrucomicrobiae bacterium. RNAcentral's name for it is "contains 16S-23S intergenic spacer region". Lineage: Bacteria; Pseudomonadati; Verrucomicrobiota; Verrucomicrobiia. The record is from RNAcentral.